This 404-nucleotide ribosomal RNA is filed under the name uncultured bacterium. Its description in RNAcentral is "bacterial SSU rRNA". It matches the Rfam family "Bacterial small subunit ribosomal RNA", at positions 355 to 776 of the family's 1533-position model. The record is from RNAcentral.
UGGGGAAUCUUGCGCAAUGGGCGAAAGCCUGACGCAGCAACGCCGCGUGCGGGAUGAAGGCCUUCGGGUUGUAAACCGCUUUCAGCAGGGACGAAAAUGACGGUACCUGCAGAAGAAGCCCCGGCUAACUACGUGCCAGCAGCCGCGGUAAUACGUAGGGGGCAAGCGUUGUCCGGAUUUAUUGGGCGUAAAGAGCUCGUAGGCGGUUCCGUAAGUCGAGUGUGAAAAAUCUGGGCUCAACCCAGUGGAGCACUCGAUACUGCGGUGACUAGAGUACGGUAGAGGAGUGUGGAAUUCCUGGUGUAGCGGUGAAAUGCGCAGAUAUCAGGAGGAACACCAACGGCGAAGGCAGCACUCUGGGCCGGUACUGACGCUGAGGAGCGAAAGCGUGGGGAGCAAACAGG